AUGGACCAAAUGGAAGUGGAUCAGCCACAACCACACCAUCAAAGUGAGAAACAAAUAUUCCAUAGAUGCGUGACAGAUAAAACCAGAGACUUUCGUGCUAAAAGCUAUGGUACUCUUAUUCAGCCCUAUGAGUUUAGUUGUUCUCAAAAUGGAGUACUUGGAGAAAAACAUGGUUUUAUACAUUAUUCAAAUAAAGCAAUAGCUUUUGCUGGGAAUCCGGAAGAAGGAUUUCAUUCAACAGAAGUGCAGAAACUAGCAGCUACUUUCUUAGUUGAGAAUGAAUUGCCCUUUAAUCAGCUAGACUCAAUUGGGCUGAACCCAGAAAUUGAUAUAGGGAUUGUUAAGACCCAUGGUGUCGCCUAUAAUAGGGAGAUUGCAAGAACUGUGACAGCUUAUGCUCACAUCCCCCAAAGUGUAGACUCCUGGUUAAAUUCAUUAAGUAUUCAAGGUUCCGUUGACGUUCCCACAAUUUUAAAAGAUAGUAUUAGGGAUUUGUAUGACCUACUUGAGAGGUUAUGGGACAAAAACAUGACAGUAGAUGAUGUGCACCUUAGUGGAACUUAUGGUCUCAAUGGCGACAUGAUGCAAAUUAAGCCAUCCCAUGUUCGUGUAAGGAAUCUUGGUGAUGCUAGGCGGCCUUCGCAAGGUUUGGCAGACAUGAUAUUCCACAAUAUUCUGAACCGCUGGACAAAUGAUGUUGAACUAAGUCACUUUCAUCAAUUCCUCCUUAAUACAAAUAUAUGCAAAGAAGAUGUCCUCAAUCAUCCAUUCCUAGGAGGCUCCGGUGCUAGGGAGGGCAUGUACAAGGAAUUGUUUAGAAGAAAUUUUACCCAACGUCAAAAAGAUUGGUUGCAGAACAACAUUAACACACAAGGGUGGCAAGUCCGAGUUGAUCCUGCUGAUCCAAAUACAGAUUUUGGUUUUAGAGAGAUUAUGAUUUUUCAGAAAAUUAAUAAGUGGGCCCAAGCGUUUGAGCCAAAUACUUGGGGUGCCUUACACUUUGCAAAAAUAGCCGUAUCCCAUUAUCACGAGCAUGAUCCUGUCGGGCGUCCCCAGCUUGAUGCUAAGCUCAAGGAUCUUCUACCUGGACUACUUGUUGGAGUAUAUGGUGCAACGUUUAAUCCGGACUUUGUAAAAGGUCCCGGAUGA
RNAcentral lists this ribosomal RNA (1149 nucleotides) under Triticum aestivum (bread wheat). RNAcentral's name for it is "partial small subunit ribosomal RNA". The record is from RNAcentral. Lineage: Eukaryota; Viridiplantae; Streptophyta; Magnoliopsida; Poales; Poaceae.